This 661-nucleotide ribosomal RNA is filed under the name uncultured Sebacinaceae. RNAcentral describes it as "eukaryotic LSU rRNA". The stretch from base 241 to 394 matches the Rfam family "5.8S ribosomal RNA". Lineage: Eukaryota; Fungi; Basidiomycota; Agaricomycetes; Sebacinales; Sebacinaceae. The record is from RNAcentral.
CUUGGUCAUUUAGAGGAAGUAAAAGUCGUAACAAGGUUUCCGUAGGUGAACCUGCGGAAGGAUCAUUAAUGAUUGCGAAUGGCUGCCUUCAGUGCUGGCUCUUACGAGCAUGUGCACGUUGGUGGCUUUCAUCCAAUACCCAUGUGAACCUUUGGCCUCUUGCUAGCUUUGGCUGGCAGAGGAUUUUUAUACACACUCGAAUGUAACGAAAACUAUUGUCGUGCGCAAGCACUAAUGUACAACUUUCAACAACGGAUCUCUUGGCUCUCGCAUCGAUGAAGAACGCAGCGAAAUGCGAUAAGUAAUGUGAAUUGCAGAAUUCAGUGAAUCAUCGAAUCUUUGAACGCACCUUGCACCCUUUGGCAUUCCGAAGGGUAUGCUCGUUUGAGUGUCAUUGUACUCUCACACUCUCUGAUCCUUUGGAUUCAGGGAGCGGUGGACUUGGGUGUUUGCUGCUUUCCUUGUGGCUCACCUGAAAUGUGUUAGUGCACCUCUUGGUUGGACAUAGAACGGCGUGAUAAGUGUCUUCGCCGGCACCUCGCAAGAGGGUGGCCAAUUGGGAGCUCUGUGCUUUCAAACCGUCUUCGGACAAUCUCUGACAACUUGACCUCAAAUCGAGUAGGACUACCCGCUGAACUUAAGCAUAUCAAUAAGCGGAGGA